AUUGAACGCAGGCGGCAUGCCUUACACAUGCAAGUCGAACGGCAGCACGGGAGCUUGCUCCUGGUGGCGAGUGGCGAACGGGUGAGUAAUACAUCGGAACGUACCCUGAAGUGGGGGAUAACGUAGCGAAAGUUACGCUAAUACCGCAUAUUCUGUGAGCAGGAAAGAGGGGGAUCGCAAGACCUCUUGCUUUAGGAGCGGCCGAUGUCGGAUUAGCUAGUUGGUGAGGUAAAGGCUCACCAAGGCGACGAUCCGUAGCGGGUCUGAGAGGAUGAUCCGCCACACUGGGACUGAGACACGGCCCAGACUCCUACGGGAGGCAGCAGUGGGGAAUUUUGGACAAUGGGCGCAAGCCUGAUCCAGCCAUGCCGCGUGAGUGAAGAAGGCCU
RNAcentral lists this ribosomal RNA (389 nucleotides) under uncultured bacterium. RNAcentral's name for it is "bacterial SSU rRNA". It matches the Rfam family "Bacterial small subunit ribosomal RNA", at positions 30 to 417 of the family's 1533-position model. The record is from RNAcentral.